Molecule: long non-coding RNA, 664 nt
Filed under: Vigna radiata
Lineage: Eukaryota; Viridiplantae; Streptophyta; Magnoliopsida; Fabales; Fabaceae
Description: long non-coding RNA (VRAD_LNC011197)
Source: RNAcentral
CUCUCCUUUUCUCCUUUUUAGGGUUUGUAUCUCUUUCAUUCCAUUCUUCAUCUAGAUUCAUCAUGACAAUGGUGAACUAAACCCUAUUGUUGUUGGGGGAAACAAUGUAAUCUUUUGAUACUCUCUUUUAUUGAAACUCUUGAUUAUUUAUAUGGUCUCCAUAUGUUUUGAUUGAUAAUUGUUGGGUUAUCAUCUGUGCUUAAGGCCUUUAUCAUUUAACUCAUUCGGUAACUGAUGUUUGUCUUUAUUGAUAUGGGGACGUACAGUAAUGACAUGAACUGGUGAGUAAUUUCUUGAUUUUGCAAUACCACCUAGGGAUAGGGGUAGGACGAUCAAUUGCGCUAACUUAUGUUUAUAAUGUGGUAUUUAUUACUAGGGGAGGCUUAGGAUAGCAAGCCAGUAGUUAACAUUUGGCCCUUUUCGCCGAGGGAUCGGGUUAAAGGGAGGCUAAGAAAGUCGCAUAACAAUUAAUUAAUCAAACUAAUAUUCAAGAGGAGUAGAUAAGAGAGAGAGGAUUAGAUGAAAUUGUAAACCCCCAACAACAUCCAUUAAUCCAUUGUUUUCUUUUGUCAAUUGAAUCAACUUUAUUUUGCAUGUUAAUAUUUUUGUUCUCAAAUCCAAUUUAUUAAUUUUUAUUUUCAAGUCUUAUUAUUUUAAUUCACAC